AUGCACUUAAAUGGCCAAAGUCUUAGUGUAGUGUAUGACCCGCCACAUUUAAUCAAAGGAGUGAGGAAUAACUUCUUGACGAAGAAUAUUAUAAUGGACGUCGAAGUGGCAAGACUUGGUGGACGUGUACCGCACGGACUGCCGCCACGCGCAAGCUCGCCUGCUGCGCAAGCUCAACGACGAGCACAUACUCCCGGACAAAAUCAAGAAAAUGAAGGUGAAAAACUGUGUGCGUGUUUUCAGUCAAACCAUGGCAGCAGCUUUAUCCUACACAGCUUCAUUUUCGCACUACGCGGACGGCACGCCUGUGAACGCUACGCUGUACAAAACGGCAGAGCUGGUGGCCUUCCUCGAUGACCUGUUCGACAGCAUCAACGGCGCCAGCACCCACCAAAAGCAUACAACGGAAAGCAAUUGCGGACUGCCGUAACUGAAAACUCAAAACAACGAUUUCUGGAUGAAGACGAUAGAAUUCCGUGAUAUCAACGGAAAAUUGACAAAAGUUCCGACGUUGAAAAAUUGGUUGACAACUUUAAAAAGCUACCAAAGGCUGUGGCAGGUCAUGAACGAAAAAAACAUCAAGAUAAUGCGCCCGCGGUAUUUUAAUUCCGACGCAAUAGAAUUUUUUUUCGGAAGAGUGCGGGCUUGCAACGCCAGAAAUAACGACCCUCCAUGCUUUUGAGUGCACUUUUAAGUCACUAAUAGUGACUAAUUUAAUAAAAAUUCACCAAAAUACAUUUAAUUGUGAGGAAGACUGUGCUGAGGAAGUUAUUAAAAUUCAGUAGUUGUUUGCGCACACUGAAGAAGACAAUGCAAUGAUCGAGGAUAGUACCAUAUCGGUUGAUUCUGCGUCUUCAUCAUUAUCAACCUUCACCGAUCGUGAAGACGGCGCAGAACAAGUAAUCGUGCAAGCCACACGGGAGCGUCUGGAUGUACACUCACGGGCAUAUACCGCGGGAUGGGUCACAAGAAUAGUAUUAAAAAUAUUGAAAUGAUUGAAUGAUUGUGAGAAAGACUUAACAAUGGAAGAAACG
Molecule: long non-coding RNA, 1034 nt
Organism: Leguminivora glycinivorella
Lineage: Eukaryota; Metazoa; Arthropoda; Insecta; Lepidoptera; Tortricidae
Exons: 3
Source: RefSeq, a predicted model, not a curated record